This 1281-nucleotide long non-coding RNA is filed under the name Sparus aurata (gilthead seabream). Its description in RNAcentral is "lncRNA (ENSSAUG00010005152.1)". The record is from RNAcentral. Lineage: Eukaryota; Metazoa; Chordata; Actinopteri; Spariformes; Sparidae.
AUGGCCUACCUCAGUCGGCCGGAUGACUCUCUCCCUACACUAAUGAGACUAUUCGAAACAUAUGGACAUCUCUCAGGUUACAAGAUUAAUAUAUUGAAAACACAGGUUUUAACAUUACACUAUACCCCAUCAAGGUUGAUACAAGAAUCUUACAAUUUCAAUUGGAAGCAGAAAACAAUCAAAUACUUGGGGGUCUGCAUUACUACGAGUGUAACUAAACUAUAUAAGGCAAAUUAUAACAAUAUUAAUCGGGAUAUUCAAAGAGACAUAGAAAGAUGGCCUACUUUACCAUUAGAUUUCAGCUCACGAAUUGAGGCAAAGGAUAUCAACCAACUAAAAUGGCUGGCAUUUGAUAGUAGUUUCAAACCAAACGAAUAUGACAGGGCAUUCAAAACAUGGUUAACUAAGGGAAUCACGGCAUGGUGCACUUUAGAGGAGAAAGGGGAGCUGGAGAGUUUUCAAAAUGUGAAGGAUAAAUACGAUCUGGGGAAACAUGACUUUCAUAGAUAUCUACAACUAAGGGAUUAUUACAAGAAGAAAAUCAGAAGGGAUCCCUCCAUGGAAGUGUGGGGUGUAACUCAACUUCUAAUCAAAUCAUAUGCAGGAAUUUCUUUUAGAAUUAUAUCGGCAUUAUAUAAAGCAUUGACAGUAAAUAAAAAUUCAACAAAAUAUGUAAAAGAAAAAUGGGAAUCGGAACUCAGCAUAGACAUUACGGAUCAACAAUGGCAAGAGAUGUGGAAAACACAUCAAACCACCACCAGCUCACAGUCAUGGAGGGAAUUCUCGUGGAAAAACCUGAUACGAUUCUUUAUCACGCCUAAAAUAAAAAAUAAAUAUUCAAAAACCAAUUACUUGUGUUGGAGAGAAUGUGGCGAAUUAGAAGCAGGCCAUGCUCAUAUCUUUUGGAAAUGUAAUAAAAUUGUAAGGUUUUGGGGAAUGGUACACAAUGUCAUGCAGAAGAUACUGGGAUAUAAUAUCCCCAUGAACUGUGAGACUCUGUACAUGUGUAACCUGAAUGAAGGACAUAUACAUAUUGGAGAUAGAUAUUUGGUAAAGAUACUAUUGAUUGCGAAUAAGAAAGCUAUAACUAGAAAUUGGUGUAAGGUAGACCCACCUAACCAGGAUCAGUGGAUGGCAAUUGUCGAGGAAAUAUACAUAAUGGAGAAGAUGACAUUUUGUAUGAGACUACAAGAGGUGCAGGGUGAACAAAAAUGGGAGAAAUGGACUAUAUACAAGAACUCAAACAGCGAUAGACACGAGGACCUGGGAAAUGAAGACUGA